UAUUUAAGUAAUAUAAAAUUUAAUAUAAAAAGGCAUUAAGGAAUGCGGUUUAAAUCCGCAACAGCCGCCGCUACUGUGAGUACUGAUGAGGGGUAUAUUAUCACUCGGAUUUUUUUCUGGGGAAGAGUAUCAUUAAGAUGAAGUACAAGUCAGGAUAUUUAGUGCUUUUUGUGAAGUUUCCA
Non-coding RNA from Clostridium pasteurianum BC1, 182 nucleotides. NCBI's taxonomy places the organism in Bacteria, Bacillati, Bacillota, Clostridia, Eubacteriales, Clostridiaceae. The record is from Rfam.